CGCCCUUAGAGUUUGAUCAUGGCUCAGAUUGAACGCUGGCGGCAGGCCUAACACAUGCAAGUCGGACGGUAAGAGAGCUUGCUCUCGACGAGUGGCGGACGGGUGAGUAAUGUCUGGGAAACUGCCCGAUGGAGGGGGAUAACUACUGGAAACGGUAGCUAAUACCGCAUAACGUCGCAGGACCAAAGUGGUUCGUCACACCAUCGGAUGUGCCCAGAUGGGAUUAGCUAGUAGGUGGGGUAACGGCUCACCUAGGCGACGAUCCCUAGCUGGUCUGAGAGGAUGACCAGCCACACUGGAACUGAGACACGGUCCAGACUCCUACGGGAGGCAGCAGUGGGGAAUAUUGCACAAUGGGCG
This 360-nucleotide ribosomal RNA is filed under the name uncultured Pantoea sp. Its description in RNAcentral is "bacterial SSU rRNA". It matches the Rfam family "Bacterial small subunit ribosomal RNA", at positions 1 to 377 of the family's 1533-position model. Lineage: Bacteria; Pseudomonadati; Pseudomonadota; Gammaproteobacteria; Enterobacterales; Erwiniaceae. The record is from RNAcentral.